This 209-nucleotide long non-coding RNA is filed under the name Nicotiana benthamiana. RNAcentral's name for it is "long non-coding RNA (NBEN_LNC026917)". The record is from RNAcentral. Lineage: Eukaryota; Viridiplantae; Streptophyta; Magnoliopsida; Solanales; Solanaceae.
AAAACUCGGGACUUAAACAAUAUUCAUAAAGGAGGAGAGGUACUACAAACUUAAGAAAAAUAGAUGAAACAUUCUUGGCAGGAACUCGAACAAAAUCCAGUAAUACGAACAAAAUUAAAGAACUCAACAGGAGACAUAAUACUGGAAAGCAUAGUGAAGAACAUGUAGGAAAAAAUAGCAGAGAUUAGCAUGUGAGCGAAGUCUACAUG